This 74-nucleotide transfer RNA is filed under the name Bacteroidales bacterium. Its description in RNAcentral is "tRNA-His". It matches the Rfam family "tRNA". Rfam says of the family: Transfer RNA (tRNA) molecules are approximately 80 nucleotides in length. Their secondary structure includes four short double-helical elements and three loops (D, anti-codon, and T loops). Further hydrogen bonds mediate the characteristic L-shaped molecular structure. tRNAs have two regions of fundamental functional importance: the anti-codon, which is responsible for specific mRNA codon recognition, and the 3' end, to which the tRNAs corresponding amino acid is attached (by aminoacyl-tRNA synthetases). tRNAs cope with the degeneracy of the genetic code in two manners: having more than one tRNA (with a specific anti-codon) for a particular amino acid; and 'wobble' base-pairing, i.e. permitting non-standard base-pairing at the 3rd anti-codon position. RNAcentral also lists the same sequence under 1 other name. Lineage: Bacteria; Pseudomonadati; Bacteroidota; Bacteroidia; Bacteroidales. The record is from RNAcentral.
GUGGAUGUAGUUCAGUCGGUUAGAGCGUCAGAUUGUGGUUCUGAAUGUCGUGGGUUCGAGUCCCACCACCCACC